This is a small nucleolar RNA of Cynoglossus semilaevis (tongue sole), 97 nucleotides long. RefSeq annotates it as small nucleolar RNA U13. The transcript has a single exon. The record is from RefSeq and is a predicted model, not a curated record. NCBI's taxonomy places the organism in Eukaryota, Metazoa, Chordata, Actinopteri, Pleuronectiformes, Cynoglossidae.
AUCCUUCGGUUCAUACAAGUGAUGAUUGGUUCAAUCACGGACUGUCCGUGAAAAGUGCUGCCUACUUGUUACGCUAUGCACUUCAGACCAUCUGAUC